Triticum urartu is the source of this 186-nucleotide non-coding RNA. Lineage: Eukaryota; Viridiplantae; Streptophyta; Magnoliopsida; Poales; Poaceae. The record is from Rfam.
GGUAUCCAUUGAUAGGGAGUGAGUUCAAGGACGAACUCAACCCAUAAUUUUCACUACUGCACAUGAAACCGUGAGUUGAUACAGCCCUGUUUCAUGUGCAAUUAACAGACGCAAAGAAUAACUGGAACAGCAUGAACCCCAUUCUUAUAAAUAAGCUGCAGCGUAAACUAGGCUACACUUUUACUC